CCCUCUUUUCAUUUUCCUCCAUACCCACGCCGCACCCCUUUCUUCCUCUUUCUCUUCUUCUCCUCCUUUCCCGCCUCUCUCCGCCGCUCCUCUCUCUCCCCCUUUUCCUCCUUCUUCUCCGCCUCCCCACUCACGCCUGUCCCCGCUCCCGUCUCUCUCAUACGCUCCUAUCCUUACUUUAAUACAAACAAAAAGCCCUAUAAAUUUGGGGGGAUUCAGUGUUUUUGAAAAAGGGAGAUGGGACGGUUUCCUUGAGAGGAGUUUUGAAAAUUCCAAACCUUAUUUCUAUUUGCUCUUUUAUUUUUCGAAGUCAAGCAUAUAAAAAUUUCGAGGGAUUUUUUUCAGAUUUUUUUGAGAAAGUUGAUUCAGUUUUGAGGGACACAACUAUCUUCCACACUUGAUUUUUCUUUUUCCGGUGAACUUUAGCCGCGACCAACAAUUACUCUAUUUUCAUUUUUUCGUUUUGAAACUUUAGUUACUUUAAUCGGGUUCGGGUUCGUUCGAGUUCGAGCAUAGAUUCGAGACCCCGACGACCUCCGUUCACUGCACCCACAACAGGCUGCGAGAAUUCUUGGUCACGUGAUUGUUGCAGGUUCUGGAGUAAUGACUUAGCGUUUGCUCAGGAAGGUCAUCAGGCACUUGCAAGCAAGUGUUUGUGGACAUAGGGCCACUUUGAUUCUCUCUUUGCAAUAGUUAAUUUAGCAUUUUACAACCUCAAAAGAGCAAAAUAAAUAAAUUUGGGCUUUACUAAAUCCAUACGGUGCUAUUUGUCAAAUACACCAGCUCUUGAGGUGUUUUUGCACGGAAAGCAAGUGCAAAUGAAAAUCCAUCUGUACGAACAAGCUUUUGGACCUUCAAAUUACAGUACAUACGUAUAUUGAAUUUGUAUGAUGACUCAGUUACCUGGUGAAAAUAUGUGCCUGAAGCGGUGACACCUUUAUUACUUGCCUACAAAUGUUUGAUUUAUACUUUACAAUGUGGUUGGUUAAUGGAAGAUGGCACAACAGUCAGUGCUGCUCAAGAAGCAAUUUACAAUAUCACUGAUCAAGCAUUACCAUGAUCAAAUCAGAGGCUAGGGAAAUUAUUUUAGCUGUGCUUCUGCUAGAGAUUCUCCUAGUCUUUACGGAGCAUAUCUGGCAGUAAAAUCUACCGAGUCACAUUGAAACAAUGCCCUUGAUAUGGCGGAAUAGACGGCAGAGGAACAAUGAACGGCGAGGACAUUGAGAGAGAAAGUAGUGUCUCAUGGUAAUUUGUCAUUGGAAGUGUAAGAUUUCACCUCUUACAAAAAGUACAAAUGGUUAGCUAUUUGAUGGAGUCUAUCAGGAAUGAGGAGAGGAGAAAGGGAGAAGCCGAGCUCGAGGAGUAAGCCGCUCCACAGAAGGAUUAGUAAAGUAGUGGUAACAACUUACCCGUUCUAUGUGUUUACACCAACCCUUUAAUACAUGACACAUGUCUUCACGUACAUCUAUUAUUAAAUUGUUGUUAACCAUGGUACAUAUGCUUACGUUAAUUAAUGAAUUAACCAUGGUAACCUAGUAAAGCAUCGGCGUAAACAUUGAAUGCGGGUAACUUUUACCAGAUAUAUGCCGAGACAUUUGGUUGCACUUUGAUCGUUCUCGUGAAGAGGCGAGUUUUCCUAAAUGUGAUAAUGCUGGCCGUUGGUUAUUUCCUCUACUGCUAUAUCUUGAUAGCCGUAAAUUAGUUAAACCUAUUUUUCUAUUGUGAAUGUAAUUGGAUUCAUUCAGUUAAAUGAGGUGCUUCCUUAUAAAAAUAGGAGGUACUACUAAAAUGUUGAUAUA
This is a long non-coding RNA of Lycium barbarum (goji berry), 1799 nucleotides long. RefSeq lists it as uncharacterized. The record is from RefSeq and is a predicted model, not a curated record. The transcript is spliced from 3 exons. NCBI's taxonomy places the organism in Eukaryota, Viridiplantae, Streptophyta, Magnoliopsida, Solanales, Solanaceae.